CAGGUGGUGCAUGGUUGUCGUCAGCUCGUGUCGUGAGAUGUUGGGUUAAGUCCCGCAACGAGCGCAACCCUUAAGCUUAGUUGCCAGCAUUAAGUUGGGCACUCUAAGUUGACUGCCGGUGACAAACCGGAGGAAGGUGGGGAUGACGUCAAAUCAUCAUGCCCCUUAUGAUUUGGGCUACACACGUGCUACAAUGGACAAUACAAAGGGCAGCUAAACCGCGAGGUCAUGCAAAUCCCAUAAAGUUGUUCUCAGUUCGGAUUGUAGUCUGCAACUCGACUACAUGAAGCUGGAAUCGCUAGUAAUCGUAGAUCAGCAUGCUACGGUGAAUACGUUCCCGGGUCUUGUACACACCGCCCGUCACACCACGAGAGUUUGUAACACCCGAAGCCGGUGGAGUAACCAUUUAUGGAGCUAGCCGUCGAAGGUGGGACAAAUGAUUGGGGUGAAGUCGUAACAAGGUAGCCGUAUCGGAAGGUGCGGCUGGAUCACCUC
RNAcentral lists this ribosomal RNA (495 nucleotides) under uncultured bacterium. Its description in RNAcentral is "bacterial SSU rRNA". It matches the Rfam family "Bacterial small subunit ribosomal RNA", at positions 1035 to 1529 of the family's 1533-position model. The record is from RNAcentral.